ACACAAAACAAAGUCUGAAGCUAUUUCUGAUUGGCCAAGCCGAUCAGUCUAACCAAAGACAACUCUCAACAACGGAUAUCUUGGCUCCUACAACGAUGAAGAACGCAGCGAAAUGCGAUACGUAGUGUGAAUUGCAGAAUUCCGUGAACCAUCGAAUUUUUGAACGCAUAUUGCGCUCGAGGCCUCGGCCAAGAGCACGCCUGCCUCAGGGUCAUGA
Molecule: ribosomal RNA, 217 nt
Filed under: Tetraselmis marina
Lineage: Eukaryota; Viridiplantae; Chlorophyta; Chlorodendrophyceae; Chlorodendrales; Chlorodendraceae
Description: 5.8S ribosomal RNA
Rfam family: 5.8S ribosomal RNA (bases 61-214)
About the family: 5.8S ribosomal RNA (5.8S rRNA) is a component of the large subunit of the eukaryotic ribosome. It is transcribed by RNA polymerase I as part of the 45S precursor that also contains 18S and 28S rRNA.
Source: RNAcentral